CCCCUCCCGAUACCCGCCAUAGCCAACCCACAGCUGCCCCAUCCUCAUACCCCAUCUCUGCCCCACACCAUACCCAUAGCCACCGCCAUAGCUUAGCCCCACAACCCCAUACCCCAUAUCUGCCCACCCAUACCCCUAUAAGCCACCAUAGCUGCCCCACCAGCCCAUACCCCAUAGCCACCCCAUACUGCCCCACCGCCCAGUUACCACCCCCCUCACCCACUUUGUGCCCCACUUGUCGGCCCACAGCGGGUUGACCUGGGCCCAACAACUGCUACAGCUUUGGGGGGCAGCAGCAAAAGGCCGAGGACGCCCCGAUUCCAUCCACACAAUUGGCCUCGCGUCAUGUGAGACUAACGCGCCGGCAGCGCGAGAUGAUCUGUCUGAACUUAUGGGGCAGCCCCACAACUUAUGGGGCAGCCCCACAACAACCUCCCCUGCCCCAUUUCUGCCCCCAUACUGCCCAUUUCUGCCCCAUUUCUGCCCCACACUCAUACCCCAGAGCUGGCCCCCAUCCCAUCCCCACCUCCCCGGCCACGCUAUGGGCAGCCCCCAACCUGCCCAAACAACUUAUGGGCAGCCCCCACAAAAACCUGCCCCGCCCUGGUGAGGCGCCAUUUCUGCCCCACUUUUCUGCCCCCACAGCUGCCCCAUCCCCACCCUCCCCCCGGCCACGCUAUGGGGCAGCCCCCCAACCUGCCCCACAACUUAUGGGGCAGCCCCAAAUCGGCCCUUUCUAUAGGUGCCCUUUUACCCCACGUCUAUUGGUUUUAAGCUGUUUUAAAGGGGGGUGUGGUGACCCCCAUAUUUGUGACCCCCCCCCAACAUCAAUAAAGACACGGUUUCUCGCUGUGGGGCCCGACCCACAUCUCUGCCCCAUAGCGCGGCUAUAGGGAUAUGGGGGGGUCUAUGGGGCUAUGGGGGUUCAUGGGGGGGGCUAUAGGGAUAUAGGGGGGUCUAUGGGAGGCAGUGGGGGUCCAUAGGGGGGUAAUAGGGAUAUGGGGGGCAAUGGGGGUCCAUGGGGGGCGGGCUACAGGGAUAUGGGGGGGUCUAUGAGGCUACAGGGGGCCAAUGGGGAUCCAUAGGGGGGCAAUAGGGAUAUGGGGGGUCCAUAGGGGGUCCAUUGGGGGGGUAAUAGGGAUAUGGGGGGUCUAUGGGGCAGUUGGGGGUCCAAGGGGGAGACCAUAGUGGGCCAAUAGGGAUAUGGGGCGGUCUAUGGGGACCAAUAGGGGCCCACAGGGGGGGCAAUAAGGAUAUAGGGGGUGUCUAUGGGGCUGGGGGGGUCUAUAGGGCGAGUCUAUGGGGUGCAGACACAGAAGAGACCCUUCACGAAGCCCCCAAUUCAACGCCAUCCUCUUAAAUCCGCCUCUGUCCCUUUAAGAGCGGCUCCACCCCCUCCACAAGCCACGCCCACAACCCCACAAGCCACGCCCACAUCCCACCUUAAGCCCCGCCCCCUCCCUUAAGCCCCGCCCCCUUUUCCCGUCAUCCCAGCGCGCGCGCGCGCCGCAUCCGGGGGUCCCGCGCGCGCCGCCGCCGCCGCCCCCCAUUGGCCCGCGAUUUCCCGCCGCCGCCGCCGCCGCUUCAUCUCAUUGGUCGCCUCUUUUUCCCGCCGGCGCCAACCAACGCCGCCAACGGUUUUUUUUACCGCCAUCUUCGGUUCGUCCGGUAACGGGUGAGAAACCCCACACCCCAAACCCCGAUAUCCUGCCAUAACUCCACCCCACAGCCCAUAAUCUGCCCCACACCACCAUAUCCCCACCCCACCA
Coturnix japonica (Japanese quail) is the source of this 1769-nucleotide long non-coding RNA. The record is from Ensembl. Lineage: Eukaryota; Metazoa; Chordata; Aves; Galliformes; Phasianidae.